GACGAACGCUGGCGGCGUGCCUAACACAUGCAAGUCGAGCGGAGUCGAUCGACGGAAGCCUUCGGGCGGAAGAUGGUUGACUUAGCGGCGGAUGGGUGAGUAACGCGUGGGCAACCUGCCUCGAAGACCGGGAUAACAGCCCGAAAGGGCUGCUAAUACCGGAUGUGGUCAAGGAUCCGCAUGGAUUUUUGAUUAAAGGGGAAACCCGUUUCGAGAUGGGCCCGCGUCCUAUCAGCUAGUUGGUGAGGUAAAAGCUCACCAAGGCGACGACGGGUAGCCGGCCUGAGAGGGUGACCGGCCACACUGGAACUGAGACACGGUCCAGACUCCUACGGGGGCAGCAGUGGGGAAUCUUAGACAAUGGGGGAAACCCUGAUCUAGCCAUGCCGCGUGAUCGAUGAAGGCCUUAGGGUUGUAAAGAUCUUUCAGAUGGGAAGAUAAUGACGGUACCAUCAGAAGAAGCCCCGGCUAACUCCGUG
This 479-nucleotide ribosomal RNA is filed under the name uncultured bacterium. Its description in RNAcentral is "bacterial SSU rRNA". It matches the Rfam family "Bacterial small subunit ribosomal RNA", at positions 28 to 507 of the family's 1533-position model. The record is from RNAcentral.